Molecule: ribosomal RNA, 492 nt
Filed under: uncultured bacterium
Lineage: Bacteria
Description: partial 16S ribosomal RNA
Rfam family: Bacterial small subunit ribosomal RNA
Source: RNAcentral
AGUGAACGCUGGCGGUAGGCCUAACACAUGCAAGUCGAACGGCAGCACAGUAAGAGCUUGCUCUUACGGGUGGCGAGUGGCGGACGGGUGAGGAAUACAUCGGAAUCUACUUUUUCGUGGGGGAUAACGUAGGGAAACUUACGCUAAUACCGCAUACGACCUACGGGUGAAAGCAGGGGAUCUUCGGACCUUGCGCGAUUGAAUGAGCCGAUGUCGGAUUAGCUAGUUGGCGGGGUAAAGGCCCACCAAGGCGACGAUCCGUAGCUGGUCUGAGAGGAUGAUCAGCCACACUGGAACUGAGACACGGUCCAGACUCCUACGGGAGGCCGCAGUGGGGAAUAUUGGCCAAUGGGCGCAAGCCUGAUCCAGCCAUACCGCGUGGGUGAAGAAGGCCUUCGGGUUGUAAAGCCCUUUUGUUGGGAAAGAAAAGCAGCAGGUUAAUACCCCGCUGUUCUGACGGUACCCAAAGAAUAAGCACCGGCUAACUUCGUG